GACAGAGGGGGCAAGCGUUGCUCGGAAUCACUGGGCGUAAAGGGCGCGUAGGCGGGAUGGCAAGUCAGUCGUGAAAUCUCUCGGCUCAACCGAGAAACGUCGGCUGAUACUGCCGUUCUUGAGGGAUGCAGAGGAGACUGGAAUUCCCGGUGUAGCGGUGAAAUGUGUAGAGAUCGGGAGGAACACCGGUGGCGAAGGCGGGUCUCUGGGCAUUUCCUGACGCUGAGGCGCGAAAGCUAGGGGAGCAAACGGG
This 253-nucleotide ribosomal RNA is filed under the name uncultured bacterium. RNAcentral's name for it is "partial 16S ribosomal RNA". It matches the Rfam family "Bacterial small subunit ribosomal RNA", at positions 524 to 776 of the family's 1533-position model. The record is from RNAcentral.